GAUGAACGCUGGCGGCGCGCCUAACACAUGCAAGUCGAACGAUUAAACCGCCCUUGGGCGGAUAUACAGUGGCGAACGGGUGAGUAACGCGUGACCAACCUUCCCCCCGCAUCGGGACAACCCGGGGAAACCCGGGCUAAUACCGGAUAUGCCGGGUAUGGCGCAUGUCAUACCCAGGAAAGCUUUUGCGGCGGGGGAUGGGGUCGCGUCCCAUCAGGUAGACGGCGGGGUAGUAGCCCACCGUGCCAACGACGGGUAGCCGGGUUGAGAGACCGACCGGCCACAUUGGGACUGAGAUACGGCCCAGACUCCUACGGGAGGCAGCAGUGGGGAAUCUUGCGCAAUGGGGGAAACCCUGACGCAGCGACGCCGCGUGCGGGAUGGAGGCCUUCGGGCCGUGAACCGCUUUCAGCAGGGAAGACAUUAAGGACGGUAC
This 436-nucleotide ribosomal RNA is filed under the name Cryptobacterium curtum. RNAcentral describes it as "bacterial SSU rRNA". It matches the Rfam family "Bacterial small subunit ribosomal RNA", at positions 28 to 478 of the family's 1533-position model. The record is from RNAcentral. Lineage: Bacteria; Bacillati; Actinomycetota; Coriobacteriia; Eggerthellales; Eggerthellaceae.